GACGAACGCUGGCGGCGUGCUUAACACAUGCAAGUCGAACGGAAAGGCCCUGCUUUUGUGGGGUGCUCGAGUGGCGAACGGGUGAGUAACACGUGAGUAACCUGCCCUUGACUUUGGGAUAACUUCAGGGAACUGGGGCUAAUACCGGAUAGGAGCUCCUGCUGCAUGGUGGGGGUUGGAAAGUUUCGGCGGUUGGGGAUGGACUCGCGGCUUAUCAGCUUGUUGGUGGGGUAGUGGCUUACCAAGGCUUUGACGGGUAGCCGGCCUGAGAGGGUGACCGGCCACAUUGGGACUGAGAUACGGCCCAGACUCCUACGGGAGGCAGCAGUGGGGAAUAUUGCACAAUGGGCGGAAGCCUGAUGCAGCAACGCCGCGUGCGGGAUAACGGCCUUCGGGUUGUAAACCGCUUUCGCCUGUGACGAAGCGUGAGUGACGGUAAUGGGUAAAGAAGCACCGGCUAACUACGUG
Molecule: ribosomal RNA, 468 nt
Filed under: uncultured bacterium
Lineage: Bacteria
Description: partial 16S ribosomal RNA
Rfam family: Bacterial small subunit ribosomal RNA
Source: RNAcentral